GGAAAUCUCUCCAGGCCCGGACACUGGAAGGAUUGACAGAUUGAUAGCUCUUUCUUGAUUCUGUGGGUGGUGGUGCAUGGUCGUUCUUAGUUGGUUGAGUGAUUUGUCUUGUUAAUUCCGAUAACGAACGAGACCUUAACCUGCUAAAUAGUGACGCGGUUCAUCGAACCGUGGGCCACUUCUUAGAGGGACUAUCGGAUUCAAACCGAUGGAAGUGUGAGGCAAUAA
Molecule: ribosomal RNA, 228 nt
Filed under: uncultured eukaryote
Lineage: Eukaryota
Description: partial 18S ribosomal RNA
Rfam family: Eukaryotic small subunit ribosomal RNA
Source: RNAcentral